GUGCUUUAGUUCUUCAUAGGAGAGAGAUUGUCCUGUCUUGAUUAGAAAAGGCUGAGACCUCUGGAGUUUUUCUGAUAGUUGCCCAAAGUCUGUCACAAUCUGAAAGCUUUUCACAGCAGAACAUGCUGUGCAGUUUGCAGGAAGUGUAGAAGUGUUUUGUCUGCAACCUGCUGCCCACCAGUCCUGGCAUUUCUCAAGCAUGUACUUCUUG
RNAcentral lists this long non-coding RNA (211 nucleotides) under Gallus gallus (chicken). Lineage: Eukaryota; Metazoa; Chordata; Aves; Galliformes; Phasianidae. The record is from RNAcentral.